UUUUGCAAAGCUAAUGGGCCACUAGGCCGACUGAGAAAGUUAUGGGUCCUUAAAGAAAGUUACAUAAACCCAUAAACUUUCUUUCUUCAUUUUGAUUUUGUGUGUUGCCCGUCUAAUUAAAUUCCUACUAAAAAAAAUGUGGAGAAGGAAGAUGUGGAAGAAACUGAAUUGGUUUUGUGUGGUACUUGUCUCCAUUUCAUUUGGCAAUUAGAUGUAGCCAUAUAAAACUAGUUUGACCAAAUUUGAAUGGGUGAUUUGCAUGUUAAGACACUUUUGAUGAAAGUUCUUACACUUUAGACACUUUAGAAAUAUGAGGCACUUUACCUUGUUUUUGGAAUAAAGAUAGACAAUUUUGCCCCUCAUUUAACUAAAGCUAUGUUACACACUUUCUCUCUUCUCUCGUUCCAUAAGAAAUAUUAGUUAGAAACAAAUGCCCAGAUGUGAAACAAAAUUAUCUCUCUCUUCGCUCUGCUUUCUCCCCUUCCAUGAAAAUUCCUAGAUCUUAGAGAUAUAAUCUUCUCAUAAAAUAUUUCGAUUGGUCGCCGCCGUCACCGAGGCAAUGACAUAUUUGCUUUUGAUGAAGUAGAAACUGGGAAUAAUAACGACGGUGAUAAGUUAGGGAGUUUUGUCACUGGCGUAGGCUACGGCGCAGCUAGGUUGGCUCGCCGGACCGGUGAUUUAAUACAGAUUGUAUUGGUCUGAACUAAGAUCACGAGGGAUGUUUCAAUUGGGGAAGAAGAAAAAUCGAAUCGUUGUUUAUAACAAGAAAUUCAUUGAUAAAUGGUUUGGGAGAGUGAAAAAUCGAUCUUGAAUCCAUAUUGAGAGAUUGUGGAAGAAGGAGAAGCAAAUGAAAACGAUUGAUUGGUGAAACGUAGCCGUAGCCAUUCUGGAGAAAAAGAAAUAAAAAUUUGUGGUAACGAAAAUGUUAAAUUCUAUAAUUAGCAAAUUAAUUUUCAUAAUUUUCGUGAUAUGAAUGUUGUGAAUUGACAUUGAAAUUUGAUUUGUUAAGAUGCAUCUGGUUUUCCAGUUAAAAUUCCAAUACCCUUUUCUAGGGACACCUUGAAUUCCUUGUUUAAUUUCUUGCCCAUAGGUACGCACCAAUCCCCACCUCUUUAACCAUAUGAUUUUUGUCCAUUUUGUGGCUGUCCACAUAUUACGUCAAACCGGACAUGAUGUUAUUGAUUUAGCUCUGUUGUUAAUGCUACUCAACGUUAAUUGUUUGGUUUACGAAAAAAUACUAAAAUGCAUAUCCAUUUGGUCUCCGCUAGAUGGAUACACCGUCAUUUCUUACACUAUAUCCAUUUGUUCGAUGUUACAUGGAUACACCUUCACUCCUAAAUGUCAUAUAUGAACGCGUACUUGCGUAUUGUCAACCAUAGGAAUCCGUCUAUUAUCCUUCGAAGAUAUGUUCGCCAACUUAUAAGGUGUUCUUGUAUUUCAUUUUGGUGAACAAUGUUUAGAUAUGUUCGCCAUCGUGUCUCUGUUUGUGGAGCUAAAACAUUUUAAUUUAAGAGAUGUAAAAUAUAGGAUCAUUCCGGGGAUGUGCCUUUAGUCAAGUGGUUAAGUCCACUUGACUCCGCCUUCUCCACCGGAGUUUGACUCCAGUAAGUCGCGUUACCCCGCAUAGUAGGGAUUGGUUAUGGAUCGGGCAUUGUCGAUCCAAAGAUGUCAAAAAAAAAA
Arabidopsis lyrata subsp. lyrata is the source of this 1680-nucleotide long non-coding RNA. RefSeq lists it as uncharacterized. The transcript has 2 exons. The record is from RefSeq and is a predicted model, not a curated record. Lineage: Eukaryota; Viridiplantae; Streptophyta; Magnoliopsida; Brassicales; Brassicaceae.